RNAcentral lists this transfer RNA (77 nucleotides) under Methylorubrum extorquens. Its description in RNAcentral is "tRNA-Met(cat)". It matches the Rfam family "tRNA". Rfam says of the family: Transfer RNA (tRNA) molecules are approximately 80 nucleotides in length. Their secondary structure includes four short double-helical elements and three loops (D, anti-codon, and T loops). RNAcentral also lists the same sequence under 140 other names. The record is from RNAcentral. Lineage: Bacteria; Pseudomonadati; Pseudomonadota; Alphaproteobacteria; Hyphomicrobiales; Methylobacteriaceae.
GGCGGGGUAGCUCAGCUGGUUAGAGCAGAGGAAUCAUAAUCCUUGUGUCGGGGGUUCAAAUCCCUCCCUCGCUACCA